UAAUGGUGCCUCUAUUGGCUCCAAAUUUGAUUAACCAAUGAAAUUCAAUUCUGUCUGUAUCGGUCCUUCUACCUCAUGAACUUCAUCAAGUUUAAUUUUACAGGCAUUAGUUUCUUCACCAAGAAAUUUUUUUUCUAAAAAGACUAUCCGUCUACUGACAAACACCUUUUGUUCUGCAGUGAGGUAGAAGUAGUAUCCUUUAGUUUUC
RNAcentral lists this long non-coding RNA (208 nucleotides) under Elaeis guineensis (African oil palm). Its description in RNAcentral is "long non-coding RNA (EGUI_LNC040346)". Lineage: Eukaryota; Viridiplantae; Streptophyta; Magnoliopsida; Arecales; Arecaceae. The record is from RNAcentral.